CACCUACGGGGGGCAGCAGUGGGGAAUAUUGAACAAUGGGGGAAACCCUGAUGCAGCGGCGCCGCGUGAGUGAAGAAGUAAUUCGUUACGUAAAGCUCUAUCAGCAGGGAAGAAAAUGACGGUACCUGAGUAAGAAGCCCCGGCUAACUACGUGCCAGCAGCCGCGGUAAUACGUAGGGGGCAAGCGUUAUCCGGAUUUACUGGGUGUAAAGGGAGCGUAGACGGGGGGCCAAGUCUGGAGUGAAAGGCCGCGGCUGAAC
Molecule: ribosomal RNA, 260 nt
Filed under: uncultured bacterium
Lineage: Bacteria
Description: partial 16S ribosomal RNA
Rfam family: Bacterial small subunit ribosomal RNA
Source: RNAcentral